This is a long non-coding RNA of Homo sapiens (human), 425 nucleotides long. RefSeq lists it as uncharacterized. The transcript is spliced from 2 exons. The record is from RefSeq and is a predicted model, not a curated record. NCBI's taxonomy places the organism in Eukaryota, Metazoa, Chordata, Mammalia, Primates, Hominidae.
GCGGCGAGUUAGCCGGCGGGCGGUGCGGGGGUGGCCGCGGUGGCCGCGGCUGCCUCGGGCGCCGGCGCCGCCUCUCCGCGCUGUUCCCCCGUUGCCCCCUUGGUACCCCCGGCUGCCGGGGACUGCCUCGCGCUCCAGAGCCCCUCUGAGGAGGAAAACGUCUGUCCCACCGACUGGCAGGGGAUGCUCCGUCAUCCCGUGCGAAGCCUGGUCCAAGGUAGGGCCGGCCGGCGUUCGGAGGCCUGUCCAGGUCUGGACAGAAGUGCCAGCCCGGGAUCUCCAGGUCUCUACGUCAACAUACUAAAGGUCCUCAUACUCCAGACUCCAGCAACAGCCAUCUAACUGGUCUCCGAAGCUCCACUUCUACCUCCCCAAUGUAUUCAGUAAUCCACAACCAGAUUAAUAAUAAAAUGCUGUUAAUACUA